UUCCUGGUGGUCCAGUGGCUAAGGCUCUGAAUUCCCAAUACAGGGGGCCAGGUUAGAUCCCUGGUCGGGGAA
RNAcentral lists this transfer RNA (72 nucleotides) under Bos taurus (domestic cattle). It matches the Rfam family "tRNA". From Rfam's summary of the family: Transfer RNA (tRNA) molecules are approximately 80 nucleotides in length. Their secondary structure includes four short double-helical elements and three loops (D, anti-codon, and T loops). Lineage: Eukaryota; Metazoa; Chordata; Mammalia; Artiodactyla; Bovidae. The record is from Rfam by way of RNAcentral. RNAcentral also lists the same sequence under 1 other name.